Molecule: regulatory RNA element, 74 nt
Organism: Actinophytocola sp.
Lineage: Bacteria; Bacillati; Actinomycetota; Actinomycetes; Pseudonocardiales; Pseudonocardiaceae
Rfam family: 6C RNA
Source: Rfam
AGCGGUUCAGCCCGACCCCCCGGGGCUGAACCUCGACGACCCCCGUCCCUCCCCCCUGGCGGGGGUCGUCCACU